AGCAGCCGCGGUAAUUCCAGCUCCAAUAGCGUAUAUUAAAGUUGUUGCAGUUAAAAGCUCGUAGUUGAAUUUCGGGAUCAAUAUGUCGGUCGUGCCUUCGGUACGUACUGGUAUCAUUGGUCUCUCCUUUCUGACGAACCAUGAUGUCAUUAAUUUGGUGUUAUGGGGAGUUAGGACUGUUACUUUGAAAAAUUAGAGUGUUUAAAGCAGGCUUUAGCUUGAAUACAUUAGCAUGGAAUAAUGAAAUAGGACGUUCGAACCUAUUUUGUUGGUUUCUAGGAUCAACGUAAUGAUUAAUAGGGAUAGUUGGGGGCAUUAGUAUUCAAUUGUCAGAGGUGAAAUUCUUGGAUUUAUUGAAGGCUAACUACUGCGAAAGCAUUUGCCAAGGAUGUUUUCAUUAAUCAAGAACGAAAGUUAGGGGAUCGAAGACGAUCAGAUACCGUCGUAGUCUUAACCAUAAACUAUGCCGACUAGGGAUCGGAUGAUGUUAAUUUUUAAUGACUCAUUCGGCGCCUUACGG
Molecule: ribosomal RNA, 520 nt
Filed under: uncultured Glomus
Lineage: Eukaryota; Fungi; Glomeromycota; Glomeromycetes; Glomerales; Glomeraceae
Description: SSU rRNA
Rfam family: Eukaryotic small subunit ribosomal RNA
Source: RNAcentral